This 101-nucleotide ribosomal RNA is filed under the name Diplacus tricolor. RNAcentral's name for it is "partial 5.8S ribosomal RNA". It matches the Rfam family "5.8S ribosomal RNA", at positions 47 to 143 of the family's 154-position model. From Rfam's summary of the family: 5.8S ribosomal RNA (5.8S rRNA) is a component of the large subunit of the eukaryotic ribosome. Lineage: Eukaryota; Viridiplantae; Streptophyta; Magnoliopsida; Lamiales; Phrymaceae. The record is from RNAcentral.
AGCGAAAUGCGAUACAUGGUGUGAAUUGCAGAAUCCCGUGAACCAUCGAGUCUUUGAACGCAAGUUGCGCCCGAAGCCAUUAGGCCGAGGGCACAUCUGCC